Molecule: ribosomal RNA, 914 nt
Filed under: uncultured bacterium
Lineage: Bacteria
Also listed under: 1 other name
Description: bacterial SSU rRNA
Rfam family: Bacterial small subunit ribosomal RNA
Source: RNAcentral
CUUUGAUCAUGGCUCAGGAUGAACGCUAGCUACAGGCUUAACACAUGCAAGUCGAGGGGCAGCGGGAUUGAAGCUUGCUUCAAUUGCCGGCGACCGGCGCACGGGUGAGUAACGCGUAUCCAACCUUCCGUACACUCAGGGAUAGCCUUUCGAAAGAAAGAUUAAUACCUGAUGGUAUGAUGAGAUUGCAUGAUAGCAUCAUUAAAGAUUUAUCGGUGUACGAUGGGGAUGCGUUCCAUUAGGUAGUAGGCGGGGUAACGGCCCACCUAGCCAACGAUGGAUAGGGGUUCUGAGAGGAAGGUCCCCCACAUUGGAACUGAGACACGGUCCAAACUCCUACGGGAGGCAGCGGUGAGGAAUAUUGGUCAAUGGACGAGAGCCUGAACCAGCCAAGUAGCGUGAAGGAUGAAGGUCCUACGGAUUGUAAACUUCUUUUAUAAGGGAAUAAACCCUCCCACGUGUGGGAGCUUGUAUGUACCUUAUGAAUAAGCAUCGGCUAACUCCGUGCCAGCAGCCGCGGUAAUACGGAGGAUGCGAGCGUUAUCCGGAUUUAUUGGGUUUAAAGGGAGCGCAGACGGGUCGUUAAGUCAGCUGUGAAAGUUUGGGGCUCAACCUUAAAAUUGCAGUUGGUACUGGCGUCCUUGAGUGCGGUUGAGGUGUGCGGAAUUCGUGGUGUAGCGGUGAAAUGCUUAGAUAUCACGAAGAGCUCCGAUUGCGAAGGCAGCACACUAAUCCGUAACUGACGUUCAUGCUCGAAAGUGUGGGUAUCAAACAGGAUUAGAUACCCUGGUAGUCCACACGGUAAACGAUGGAUACUCGCUGUUGGCGAUAUACUGUCAGCGGCUUAGCGAAAGCGUUAAGUAUCCCACCUGGGGAGUACGCCGGCAACGGUGCAACUCAAAUGAAUUGACGGA